UCAAAAGUCACAAAAAUAACACUUAAUGUUUUAUCAAAAGUCAUAAACUUAGGGUUUAGAGUUAAAAUGUGGGGUUUAUGAUUUAGGAUUUAGGGUUUAGAGUUUAGGGUUUAGGGUUUAGAGUUUAGGGUUUAGGGUUUAGAGUUUAGGGUUUAUGGUUUAGAGUUUAGGGUUUAAAAUUUAGGGUUUGGGGUUUAGAGUUUAGGGUUUAGGGUUUAGGGUUGAGAAAUGAGGUUUUGGGUUUAAGAUUUCAAAUUUUGAAAUAUAAAAAAAUUAAAAUUUUCAAAGGAUAAACUUAUAAAGAUGCUAUUUUGGUCAUUUUAGUUUUUGAUUGCUAUUUUUGUGAUAUA
RNAcentral lists this long non-coding RNA (350 nucleotides) under Brassica napus (rape). RNAcentral's name for it is "long non-coding RNA (BNAP_LNC024404)". Lineage: Eukaryota; Viridiplantae; Streptophyta; Magnoliopsida; Brassicales; Brassicaceae. The record is from RNAcentral.